Molecule: signal recognition particle RNA, 98 nt
Filed under: Vespertiliibacter pulmonis
Lineage: Bacteria; Pseudomonadati; Pseudomonadota; Gammaproteobacteria; Pasteurellales; Pasteurellaceae
Description: Bacterial small signal recognition particle RNA
Rfam family: Bacterial small signal recognition particle RNA
About the family: The signal recognition particle (SRP) is a universally conserved ribonucleoprotein involved in the co-translational targeting of proteins to membranes.
Source: Rfam by way of RNAcentral
UUUUUGGUCUCUCGCAAUAGGUUUUAGUUUAUUUGGUCAGGUUCGGAAGAAAGCAGCCAGGAUUGAAAUUUCUAUGUGCCGAGAAUCGCUGGAAAUGC